ACCUUUAAUAAGUACAGUUAAUCACCAUAAAACAUAUCCAUGUCUCUUUUUGAAAGGAAAAGUUAAAUAAUUAGCACUGUUAACAAUAAACACUGCAAUAAAGAUGUUCAGAAAAUAAAAAUAUUAGUGUUUAUUGUUUUUCCUUCCACCUUGUUAACAUACCAGGAAUUGCCAAGGCCAAGAAAUGGCUGCACUUUUUUAUUGCACUUGAGAUUUGUUAAUGACCCCCCCAAAGCUGCCUCACUAUUUAUCAGUAGUUCAUCUUGUGAAAUGGGCAAAAUCUGGAAAAACUGCAUCCUUGGCGAGGCUGACAGGUGCUACAUUCCUACUACCGACAUAGCUGACACCCUCCUGUUGGGCCACUGAAGUUAUGCACACACAAUUAAAAUUACAUGUUCGAAUCCAGAUGUAAAGUCAAAGAAAAUCAAAAAUGAAGGAGCUGAAGUCUUAAGAACUGAUCUGGGGAAUGCAGGAUUGUCUCUGUCAGAGAACGGAGCCGUUAGAGGAGCGACCUGGGUGGCAAAAGGUGAAGAGAAUGAGAUACCAAAGGGAGACUGAGCAGAAUCACAAAUUUGGCAUGUCACAUGGUCAAACAGUGAAGAUUUACGACUGAUCGGGUUCCUCAUCAGCAGCAUGGUGUUGUGGCUCCAGAAUGCCAGGUAUGGGAGUGAGAUCAGACUCUGACUAUAGUUUGUACACCCCUUCUGGCAGCAUACAGCCGGUGUGACUAGUUGAAAAUGACAGUGUCACCUGUGGGAGAAGGGCGAAAUCUUUUAUUUUUUUUUUUUUCUACAUCUUCAAGAUUGCAGGAUCUAUGAUUUACUCAGCGGUGACAUCAUGGAGACCGCAGCUAUUUUUAUUGGACGGUAAAGGGCCAGCUCCUUUCCGUGCACCGCCACCUGCCCAAUCCACACCAGUCAACAAGACCCUGGAGAGAAGGGGGAAAAAAAUCAUGCACCCAAAAAAUGAUUGAGAGUUGAAAGGCUGAAAAUGAUAUAGGCAUGCCAUGCUACUGUCUGAAGCAUGUCUAACAAGUCAGAUGUCUUUUCACAGCUACUGGUCUGCCAUCCCAAUUUGUCACACUGAUGCACUGAGUGCAGUCAGUUGUGUAUCCUAUAAUGUUGAUGCCAUUGUGUUUUAUCACUGAUCUAAUAUGUUUUAUCUUUGCU
Long non-coding RNA from Poecilia latipinna (sailfin molly), 1169 nucleotides. RefSeq lists it as uncharacterized. NCBI's taxonomy places the organism in Eukaryota, Metazoa, Chordata, Actinopteri, Cyprinodontiformes, Poeciliidae. The transcript has 2 exons. The record is from RefSeq and is a predicted model, not a curated record.